AGCGAACGCUGGCGGCAGGCCUAACACAUGCAAGUCGAACGAACUCUUCGGAGUUAGUGGUGGACGGGUGAGUAACACGUGGGAACGUGCCUUUUGGUUCGGAAUAACUCAGGGAAACUUGUGCUAAUACCGAAUGUGCCCUUCGGGGGAAAGAUUUAUCGCCAUUAGAGCGGCCCGCGUCUGAUUAGCUAGUUGGUGAGGUAACGGCUCACCAAGGCGACGAUCAGUAGCUGGUCUGAGAGGAUGACCAGCCACACUGGGACUGAGACACGGCCCAGACUCCUACGGGAGGCAGCAGUGGGGAAUCUUGCGCAAUGGGCGAAAGCCUGACGCAGCCAUGCCGCGUGAAUGAUGAAGGUCUUAGGAUUGUAAAAUUCUUUCACCGGGGACGAUAAUGACGGUACCCGGAGAAGAAGCCCCGGCUAACUUCGUG
RNAcentral lists this ribosomal RNA (433 nucleotides) under uncultured bacterium. RNAcentral describes it as "partial 16S ribosomal RNA". It matches the Rfam family "Bacterial small subunit ribosomal RNA", at positions 29 to 507 of the family's 1533-position model. The record is from RNAcentral.